GAUGAACGCUGGCGGCGUGCCUAAUACAUGCAAGUCGAGCGAACGGACGAGAAGCUUGCUUCUCUGAUGUUAGCGGCGGACGGGUGAGUAACACGUGGAUAACCUACCUAUAAGACUGGGAUAACUUCGGGAAACCGUAGCUAAUACCGGAUAAUAUUUUGAACCGCAUGGUUCAAAAGUGAAAGACGGUCUUGCUGUCACUUAUAGAUGGAUCCGCGCUGCAUUAGCUAGUUGGUAAGGUAACGGCUUACCAAGGCAACGAUGCAUAGCCGACCUGAGAGGGUGAUCGGCCACACUGGAACUGAGACACGGUCCAGACUCCUACGGGAGGCAGCAGUAGGGAAUCUUCCGCAAUGGGCGAAAGCCUGACGGAGCAACGCCGCGUGAGUGAUGAAGGUCUUCGGAUCGUAAAACUCUGUUAUUAGGGAAGAACAUAUGUGUAAGUAACUGUGCACAUCUUGACGGUACCUAAUCAGAAAGCAACGGCUAACUACGU
This 496-nucleotide ribosomal RNA is filed under the name uncultured bacterium. Its description in RNAcentral is "partial 16S ribosomal RNA". It matches the Rfam family "Bacterial small subunit ribosomal RNA", at positions 28 to 506 of the family's 1533-position model. The record is from RNAcentral.